GCGGCUUUAGCUCACUUGGGAGAGCGCCAGACUGAAGUCCACUUCAGAUCAUCAUCUUGAAUAUCUGGAGGCACUGUGUUCGAUCCACAGAAGCCGCA
This 98-nucleotide transfer RNA is filed under the name Cadophora sp. DSE1049. RNAcentral describes it as "tRNA-Phe". It matches the Rfam family "tRNA". Rfam says of the family: Transfer RNA (tRNA) molecules are approximately 80 nucleotides in length. Their secondary structure includes four short double-helical elements and three loops (D, anti-codon, and T loops). The record is from RNAcentral. Lineage: Eukaryota; Fungi; Ascomycota; Leotiomycetes; Helotiales; Ploettnerulaceae.